RNAcentral lists this long non-coding RNA (299 nucleotides) under Phoenix dactylifera (date palm). RNAcentral's name for it is "long non-coding RNA (PDAC_LNC012651)". Lineage: Eukaryota; Viridiplantae; Streptophyta; Magnoliopsida; Arecales; Arecaceae. The record is from RNAcentral.
AAUCCAAUUCGAAUCAGGAGCUAAGGUUUGCAACAUCUGCUAGGAUGUUUAUCUUGCAAACAUGAUCUAAUCCAAUUAGACCCUUGAUCAGUUUUCUUGUGUGUGACCCAUUGGGUUCCAUACUUAGCUAGCAAUAGGUGUGAGUGCGAGUUGACCCAACUUGAUUAGAACUCUUCUAAUCGAUUUAGGUCCAAACUGCGCGAACCCGAACUUAACAAUUAGAAUCCUUUCUAAUUGGUGAUCGAAUUAAACUCUUUAAUUCGAUCAAAUCUAUAAGACAAGAUUGACGUCUAGCAACG